CUGUCCCUAGUACGAGAGGACCGGGACGGACGAACCUCUGGUGUGCCAGUUGUUCUGCCAAGGGCAUGGCUGGUUGGCUACGUUCGGGAGGGAUAACCGCUGAAAGCAUCUAAGCGGGAAGCCUGCUUCGAGAUGAGUAUUCCCACCUCCUUGAGAGGGUAAGGCUCCCAGUAGACGACUGGGUUGAUAGGCCGGAUCUGGAAGCCAGGUAACUGGUGGAGGUGACCGGUACUAAUAGGCCGAGGGCUUGUCCUCAGUUG
This 260-nucleotide ribosomal RNA is filed under the name Streptomyces sp. SID486. RNAcentral describes it as "partial 23S ribosomal RNA". It matches the Rfam family "Bacterial large subunit ribosomal RNA", at positions 2672 to 2925 of the family's 2925-position model. Lineage: Bacteria; Bacillati; Actinomycetota; Actinomycetes; Kitasatosporales; Streptomycetaceae. The record is from RNAcentral.